UGUGAAGCUAUGCUACAAUGGGGUGAAAUGAAAUGCUGAAUACCUCAAGAUAGAUCCUUAGCUGUUGAGGAUCACUUCAUCCUCUGUACUCAAAUAAUUGCCGAGAAAUAUUUAGAAAGCUAUAAAGGCAAACGGUUAUUGUAUAAUAUAUAGUUCUUCUUCUUAAAUCAUUCCUGCAUUAAUUUUUAAGAUAAUUCAUAUUUUACUACA
This 210-nucleotide unclassified non-coding RNA is filed under the name Hevea brasiliensis (rubber tree). The record is from RNAcentral. Lineage: Eukaryota; Viridiplantae; Streptophyta; Magnoliopsida; Malpighiales; Euphorbiaceae.